CCAGCUUCCAACGCCCGCAGUGAACUCCCGUCCCCUCUUGCCAAUGCCUCCUGCACACCCGCUCCUCCCACGGGGCCUCCCAGAGCUGACCUCAGCCCAGGCCCUAUCAGCUGAGCCCUGGGCAGCAUCUCGUCCACACCCCGCAGGGCCUUGGUGGGGCCGGGCAGGGGGCCCUGGCCCCCGUCUGCAGACCAGGCCGCCGAAGCUGCCGCUCACUCGGGUGCAGGAGAUCAGGGGAAGCAAAAGGUUAUUGGAGGAGAAAGGAAAACGUUGCCCCUGAUGCCACGUUGCGCAACACAGGAGAAUCCUAUCAGCGCAGGAGAACCAGGACUGGAACCCAGCCCCCCACAUGCCUAGCCUGGCCUGCUUCCUCUGGCCCACCUGUGGGGGUGUGGAUGCUGAGGGAUGUCAGAGCCCAGGGACGACCACUGUGGGUCUGAAGAGCCCUGGACGGUGUGCAUAGAGUAGGCAAGCGAAUGAACGGAUCUGCCCGGCUGCAGGGAGAAUGAGAGCGGAAAACGUAAAGAAGGUGUGAGGGGCUCCAUUUUACAGAGGGGGAAAGCGAGGCUCCCAGCGGGAAAGUGGCUUGCCCGAGAUCACCUGGCAGUCAUCGCCUGAGCCAGGAUUUGAAUCAAGGCCUGUCGAUUUCCAAGGCGGAUACUGCUGACACUGAUUCUCCUUAAACGAUGGAGUCCCACAGAAAGGUGGCUUUGCAGGCACAGUAAAGUACAAAGUCUCCAAGGCUGGUCUGGCUGCCUUGAAGGUCCAGCUGGGUGGCAGGAACUCAAAGGUCGACGGGUGAGAUGUUCUUGAUUUCUGGAGUCCUUGGGCCCCCCGGGGCUGUUGGCUCUGACUGCCGAUAAAAAGACACGGAAACCUCUGUCCCAUUGUGACCUGGCUCCCUGUUGUCCUUCUGCAGGAAAGCCAAGUUCUCAUAGCCCCUGUACCUCCCAACUGCUUCUAAUGAAUUCACUGUCCGCCUUGUUUUGUUGUCCCAGACUCAGGCCACCCUGGUUUUGCCUGGUGAGUGGCCUCUUUCAAAGGUGAGCUGGCUCUUCUCUGCCUCGGACAAUCAGGCCAUUCAAAGGCAGGCCAGCAUCUCCACGAGCAGGCCGAUGUCCACUGCAGCCCGCAAAUGAGUGUGCGGGUAGGCGUGCCUGCACCCCAAUGCCUAGGUGUGCAUUUUGUACGGGAGGCAGGGCAGGGCGAGAGGAGACAGUCCGAGAGGAUGUGGGGGCAGGGGGAUUGAAGACCGGGCCUUGGGACAACGUUAACGGCAGCUCUGCCCAAAAGUACACUAUUAUCAAGUAAGUUGAGAAAUGCCGAAAGUUCCAUCUCUUCCUUUAAGUUUGUGGUAUGGACAUCUGUGUGACAAAGGCUCAGAGAAGUCCUGCGGUCAGGAAUGUUUGUUGACUUUUAAUUGAGAAUUGCUGUGGUUUUUUUCUCCUCCCUCUCUCUCGUCCUUCCUUCAACAAAUGCUCAAGACAUUCCUAACGUCCACCAGGACUGUCUCAAGCGCUGGGGACUCAGCAGUGAACAAAACAAGGCUCCUGCCCCCUUGGGGUUCACUCCAGAGGGAGGAGACUGACGACAAAUGUAAUAUGGAAGCGAGUGGGCGGUGGUUUACACUUUUGAGUAUGGAGGUAGGAGAGCCCUUACUGAGAAGGUGAUAUUUGAUCGGAGACGUAGGACAGGUGAGGAAACCCAUCAGGCCGACUCAUGGGGGAAGAGCAUUCCAAGCAGAGGGAACUGCAGGUGCUAAGACCCUGAGGCCUCGGCAUGCCUGGUGGGACCCAGGAGCAGCGGGGAGGCCGUCAGCCCCAGCCCACAGGACACAUUGUAGCAUCUGCCAAAGCAGUUUGAGAAACUGGUGUCCAGACUGGAGGUAUUCACACAAGCACUGACUCCUAGGUUCUCUCAGACAAAAUCAGGAGGCACAUCAGUAUGGCAGAGGCUGAGUGGUGGCCAUCCCCUUUAGAGAAGGGUCUGUGUUCCCUGGGACGCCCCACCCAUACCGGACCUCAAGCCCCUCCAGCUGUACUCAUGGAUGUCACUUGCCCCGCCCCGAAGGCCAUCUGAAGGAGGUGGCCUCUGGGCGCCACUCGCUGUGCUAACACCCUAAAACUCUCUGCCCGCAGUGAGUACGACAGUCAUGCUUCCCGGUUUCCCGCUCGGCCCGGCACAGUUCUGGGAACGCAAUGGACGCACUGCAGACGUUUGGUCCCCACCCCUCCCCAGCUGCCUGGUGACCUCGGUUACCCUGCAACCCGGGAGGCUUGAGAUGCAUCCUGCAGGGUGUGCCCUGCCUAAGCCCUGUCCCCAUGUGGCCUGCAUCCGUGUGGCCAGUGCAACAGAAAUCAGGACCUCGUUCAGUUGGGGUGGACCUCAGAAAACCUCAGUCGCCGUGGAUACUUCUUUGCGCCCAAUUCCAAAUUGGCCACUCUGCCCGCUCCCCAUCCUCUCACCCCAAACGCAACCCAACGUCACUUGUGGGCAGGAAUUCGCCGUCAGCACACAGAGAGGUGGGCAGCAUGGACUCCUACCACACAGACUUGGGAUGAAACCCAAGCUCUGUAACUCGGUAGCUGCUGCUGUAGCUGUUAUUGGUCAGGGCUCUCCAAAGAACCAGAACCAAGAGGGCAUGCAGGGAUCCAUAAGAGGAGAUUUAUUAUGAGAACUGGCUCACGUGAUUAUGGUGGCCAAGAAGCCCCACAAUCUGCCCUCUGCAGGCUGGAGACCCAGGAAAGGGAAAGGUGGUGAUAUGAUUCAGUCGGAGUCUGAAGGCCUGGAGAUCAGUGAAGCCAGCUGUGUGAAUGCGGCUCUGAGUCUGAAAGGCCAAGGAGCUGGAGCGCUGAUGUUCAAGGGCAGGAGACGAGAAGACGGGGGUCCCAGCUCCAGAAGAGAGAGCAAAUUCGCCCUUCCUCUGACUUUUUGUUCUGCUCAGGCCCACAGAGGCUUAGAUGAAGCCCACCCACAUCGGCGAGGGGAACUUCUGUAUCUGGUCUACUGAUUCAAAUAUUGAUCUCUUACAGAAACACCCUCACAGAGACACCCAGAAAUAAUGUUUUACCAGCCAUCUGGUCAUCCCUUAGCCCAGUCAAGGUGAUGCCUAAAAUCAGACAUCAUGAUGUCUAAUGUCUAAUCAUGACAUCCCUAAUUCUUCUGAACUUCAGGUUCCUAAAGUGCCAAAGGACAACAGCACUCCCCCCUGCUGCCCACCUUGGAGGGAGGGCUGCCGGCAGGAUUAAAGGGGCCAGCCAGGUAAUGAACACACGGGAAGUGGUCGCUGUCGGUGUCAUCAUCUCGGCCACAGGAGGACUUUGUGGCUUGGCAUUUCCAAACUAGAAGGGUCUAUCUCCCCAGCUCCAUCAUGAAACCUGUUAGAAACUGGUGGAUGUGCCCGGAGUCAAACUGGAACUGGGUGGGAGAAGCCCCGUACAAUGCAAACCCCUCACCCCCAUGUAGAAGACACCUCUUAAUUUUUGCCCCCCGAACAUCCGCUUUCUCUUCUAGCAACAGCAUCCCAAGUUUCCUUGGGGAAACCACCCCUCCUCCACGCUCAGUCCGUGCAAUUCGUCGACUUCGACGCCAUCAGCCACCUGGCCAAUCAAAGCCCUGACUCCUCCAAGCACAGUGAUUGGUUCGUGGUGAGCAUGUGAUCCAGGCUGGGCCAAUAAGAGACCUCUGUGAGUUUUGCCGAGCUCUUGGGAAAGAGGCGCCCUCUUCCUUGUGGGGUGGCUGGGCGGACGGGCCGUGAGCCGGCCGCUGCUGGUGGGCAACUUCACAAGCAGAAAAACAAAACAGACAACCUGCCUGAGAGUGAAGGCAACAGCCAACACAGAAGAAAGCAGAGCCAAAGGGUGCAGGGAGGAUGCCUGACAAAGAUGCCCAAGCACCUGGAUCCAGUCAUGACCGAGGCUGCAGAAAACAUGUCCGCUCGGGGCCCUGGAUCUAGUUAGCGCUCGACAAAUAUCUGCCGUAGGAUGGGCACCACGAUACCAGGACCAAGAUAUUUAGCGGUUUCUUCAGCAAAGGAGCCAGACGACCUAGCCACGGGAGUGAUGGAAUCUCCGAAAUGGCAUGAGGAGAGAAAGAGCCAUCGUCCCUUGAGGGAUCCCGAAAUGUAGGUCGCAUUUCUCGCGUUUCUUUUUCUGUCUUGAGAUAGCCGUAAGGUGACGGAGCUGCCGAAUGAGCCAGCUGAACUCUAACCUCCGGCAGGUAGGGCCUGCAUUUGCCCUGCUCAGCUGUACUUCCCUGCCUGGCAUACAGCAGGUGCUCAAUAAGUGGUGAGAUAAGGGAAAUGGAACUGGGGACCUGCUUCCCAUCCUAAGUAGUUCAUUUCUUGUCGUGUAGGUGGUCUGUUGGUGGGAAUGUUACCCUCCCCGUAAUGUUACCGUUCCCUGUCGCCCUCCUGGCUCCCCGUCCCCUCCUUCCAGCUUGGAGCAGGGUUGGGGGGAGGGCACGGAGGCCCGAGAGAUGGUCCUGGUCCCUGCUCUUGGACCAUUUUCUCCAGCGUCAUGUAUCUGCGGGCCGGAGGGUGGGGUGGGGAGAAGAUUUCUGCCGAACUCGCUUCUGCACAGCCGGGGUGUGCCGUCACCCCCAGCUGCCUACCCUUCCUCCAUCGGCGCUUUGGCGCUGUGGCCCUGGCUCAGCCAGGACUGGAUUUGAUUGAUUCUUUAUGGCCUGCGGAUUCGAUGCCUGAGCUGAACACAUGUGGAAGACAAGCCAGGGUGGAGGUGGGGGAGAAGAGAGGCAAGGGGGAGCAGUGUGGGCCAGACCCCAAGUCUUGCAAGACACAGAGCUUCCCCAGGUCUGGCCCGGAUCACGACCUACAUGCCAGCCGCACCCACAUGCCGAUGACUCUGGUUUCUAGAAUUGUCCUGAACCUCAUUUCCCAGCAAUAUCCGAUCGAAUGGGAAUGUCCAAGGCCAGGCCCUUCAGAUGGGACGAGUCCGGGCCAAACGUCCUCCCAAAAAAAUGUGAUGUGAGCAGUGUUCAUCUGUUAUUGAUUGGGAGGCUGUGAGCUUUGCUUCCAAAAUCUCCAAUAAAACUGGCUUGGAGGAGAAUUUCCUGGAUCCCCGGUAAGUGGAUAAAGAUGUUCCAGAAGUCCAGAGUGGUGCUGGUGGGGAAGCUCACACACCACGUCCAGUUGGUUUUCCCCUUUGUUACUUAAUGAAGAACAGAAAGCCUUCAGCCCAACCUCUCUGCCUCCAGAGACGGCUCCCUUCUCCCUUUGAGUUAAUUUCCGGUUGGAGGCAGGAGCCUGCUCAGCCUCAGGGCCCCUGGGAAUCUGCCCUCUUCUCCUUUGGGUUGGGGGCUGGGGUUAGCUCAUUCCUCUGGACAUCCCGUGGGAGGGCUCUUGCACCUAUGGGUGGUACUGGGAGAGUAGGGGGUCUCUAGGGAGUAUGGUGGAGCAUUUGGGGAGCUGGGCUCCAUUGUUGAGGCAACCUUACAGAGAAUUCACCUUCCAGAGCCUCAGUUUCCUCACCUGCGAAAUGGGUGUCAUCUCAGCCUCGGCCUCAUGGGGGUUGUUGACAGGAGUCGCCAAGAGGACGUAUGCAACGCGCUUUACCCAGGGCCUGGCGCACAGCAAGUACUCGAUUAGCACGGGUUCUUAUCACUAUUAUUCCCUGACGUCAGCAGCUGGGAUUCUGCUGACUUCAUGGCGAGUCCCAGAGACGCCCAGAGCGAUGGAAUCACCCCCUUCCCUGUACUUCUCCUUCCCGUCCUCCACCCCCCACCACAUUCUCUUGGGCCGUGGGAUGGAAGGAUGAGGACAGGCAAUCUGAGUCAGAGCGCUUGUCAUCUGGGUGGGGGGAAUGGGGGGUGGGCCAGGAGCCGGAAAACCUCAGCCAGAGCCAGGGUGCGGCCGGGGAGGUCAGCCCUUGGCUCGGUGUCUCCACCGUAUGGUGCAAAGAUGCCGGAGCAGACGCCCACCUCCAGCAUCACUGAUCUAGGCCUCCCUCAGCCCUCGCAGCUGGCCAGGAAGGAGCGCCCUACUUGUGGCCUUUGCCCCCCGGGGAACCUAUACGACUGUGGGCCCCGCAUGCCUCGUCUCCCAGAUGGGAAGAUUGAAUUUGGCUUCGCGCACCUCAAAGGGAUGUCGUGCAGCUCAGUACAGGGCUCGGGGAACUGAGCGGACAGUCUAACCAGGAGCUGGGCGAACACGGGACGGAUUCACACCAACGUGGCAAAGGCUCAGAAAACUGAAUUAGGACCCGAACCACUGCCCACAGGAGCCGAGCAGAACUCUCGGUCUGAAUCGAGCCGGGUUAUCUGGGUGCUCCGAGGAAAACCUCAGUGUUCUCCAAAGACAGUAACAAUCCAGAAUCUGUGUGGCAUAACAUCAUAUGGCUCAGGGUGCAAUAAUCCAAAAUUAUCAGCAUACUAAGAGCCAUGAAAAUAUGAAAACUCUUAACCUGAUAAGGGGCAUCUAUGAAAAAAUCUAGAGCUAACGGCACACUUAAUGACGAAAGAUUGAAUGCUGUCUCCUGCGAGCUGUAUCUUGCACCAUAUAAAAAUGAAAUAAAAAUGGAUCAUAUACCUAAAUAUAACACAUAAAAACAUAAAAGUUCUAGAUGAAAAGAUAGGAGGAAGUCUUUGUGAUCUUGGGGUAGGCCAAGAUUUCUUGGAUUCGGCACCAAAAACACUUAUCUAUAAAAGAAGAAAUGGGCGAACUGAACUCUAUCGAAAUUAAGAACUUAUGGUUUUUGAAAGACUCGGUUAAGAAAAUGAAAAGAUAAGGCACAGACCGAGAGAAGCCAUUUGCAAAUCGCAUAUCUGUUAAGAGACUUGCGUCUGGAACAUAUAAGAAAUUUUCAAAAAUAGCAAGAGAACAAACAACCCAAUUAAAAGAAAUGGGCAAGAGAGUUGAACAAACAUUUCACCAAAGAAGCUAUGUGGAUGGCAGACGAGCACAUGGAAAACGUUCAAAAUAACUAAUCAAAAAGAACAGAUAUUAAAACCACAGUGAGGGGCGCCUGGGUGGCUCAGUCGGUUAAGCGUCCGACUUCAGCUCAGGUCACGAUCUCACACUUCG
Long non-coding RNA from Felis catus (domestic cat), 7039 nucleotides. RefSeq lists it as uncharacterized. Lineage: Eukaryota; Metazoa; Chordata; Mammalia; Carnivora; Felidae. The transcript is spliced from 4 exons. The record is from RefSeq and is a predicted model, not a curated record.